Molecule: transfer RNA, 85 nt
Filed under: Chloroflexota bacterium
Lineage: Bacteria; Bacillati; Chloroflexota
Description: tRNA-Tyr
Rfam family: tRNA
About the family: Transfer RNA (tRNA) molecules are approximately 80 nucleotides in length.
Source: RNAcentral
GGGGAGACUGAGCAAGUGGCGAGCCCAACUGACUGUAAAUCAGCCGUCUAAGACUGUGAUGGUUCGACUCCAUCUCUCCCCACCA